This 408-nucleotide ribosomal RNA is filed under the name uncultured Diversispora. RNAcentral's name for it is "partial 28S ribosomal RNA". Lineage: Eukaryota; Fungi; Glomeromycota; Glomeromycetes; Diversisporales; Diversisporaceae. The record is from RNAcentral.
GAGAGUUAAAUAGUACGUGAAAUUGUUGAAAGGGAAACGAUUGAAGUCAGUCAUGCUAGUGAAAAUUCAGUUUGGUGGGUUUUGGGUUCAGGAGUUGAGGCAGGGUCAAACCGUUUCUCUUUUGAACUUGGAAUUUGUCAGAUGCACUUUUUCUUUGGCAGGUCAGCGUCGAUUUCGGAGGUUGUAAAAUACUUGGGGAAAAGUAGCUCUGCUUCGGGAGAGUGUUAUAGACCUUGGGUGAUGCGGCCUGCGGGAUCGAGGAUUGCAGCAAAUGCUUUUGGCUUGUCGCCUGAUCUCUGGACGUCAUCUCGCUUGUAUCAACAUUCUUGGUACCGGUGAGUAAUGGUGCUCAUAGGUUAGAGCGAUCAAAAAUUUUGCUAAGGAUGCUGACGUAAUGGCUUUAAACGA